This 492-nucleotide ribosomal RNA is filed under the name uncultured bacterium. Its description in RNAcentral is "partial 16S ribosomal RNA". It matches the Rfam family "Bacterial small subunit ribosomal RNA", at positions 29 to 507 of the family's 1533-position model. The record is from RNAcentral.
AGUGAACGCUGGCGGUAGGCCUAACACAUGCAAGUCGAACGGCAGCACAGUAAGAGCUUGCUCUUACGGGUGGCGAGUGGCGGACGGGUGAGGAAUACAUCGGAAUCUACUUUUUCGUGGGGGAUAACGUAGGGAAACUUACGCUAAUACCGCAUACGACCUACGGGUGAAAGCAGGGGAUCUUCGGACCUUGCGCGAUUGAAUGAGCCGAUGUCGGAUUAGCUAGUUGGCGGGGUAAAGGCCCACCAAGGCGACGAUCCGUAGCUGGUCUGAGAGGAUGAUCCGCCACACUGGAACUGAGACACGGUCCAGACUCCUACGGGAGGCCGCAGUGGGGAAUAUUGGACAAUGGGCGCAAGCCUUAUCCAGCCAUACCGCGUGGGUGAAGAAGGCCUUCCGGUUGUAAAGCCCUUUUGUUGGGAAAGAAAAGCAGCAGGUUAAUACCCCGCUGUUCUGACGGUACCCAAAGGAUAAGCACCGGCUAACUUCGUG